Molecule: ribosomal RNA, 496 nt
Filed under: uncultured bacterium
Lineage: Bacteria
Description: partial 16S ribosomal RNA
Rfam family: Bacterial small subunit ribosomal RNA
Source: RNAcentral
GACGAACGCUGGCGGCGUGCCUAAUACAUGCAAGUAGAACGCUGAAGAGAGGAGCUUGCUCUUCUUGGAUGAGCUGCGAACGGGUGAGUAACGCGUAGGUAACCUGCCUUGUAGCGGGGGAUAACUAUUGGAAACGAUAGCUAAUACCGCAUAACAAUGGAUGACACAUGUCAUUUAUUUGAAAGGGGCAAUUGCUCCACUACAAGAUGGACCUGCGUCGUAUUAGCUAGUAGGUGAGGUAAUGGCUCACCAAGGCGACGAUACGUAGCCGACCUGAGAGGGUGAUCGGCCACACUGGAACUGAGACACGGCCCAGACUCCUACGGGAGGCAGCAGUAGGGAUCUUCGGCAAUGGGGGCAACCCUGACCGGGCAACGCCGCGGGAGUGAAGAAGGGUUUCGGAUCGGAAAGCUCUGUUGUAAGUCGAGAACGGAUGUGGGAGUGGAAAGUUCACGCUGUGACGGUAGCUUACCAGAAAGGGACGGCUAACUACGUG